RNAcentral lists this transfer RNA (77 nucleotides) under Flavobacteriaceae bacterium. Its description in RNAcentral is "tRNA-Ala". It matches the Rfam family "tRNA". From Rfam's summary of the family: Transfer RNA (tRNA) molecules are approximately 80 nucleotides in length. Their secondary structure includes four short double-helical elements and three loops (D, anti-codon, and T loops). Lineage: Bacteria; Pseudomonadati; Bacteroidota; Flavobacteriia; Flavobacteriales; Flavobacteriaceae. The record is from RNAcentral.
GGGGAUGUAGCUCAGUUGGCUAGAGCGCUUGACUGGCAGUCAAGAGGCCGUGGGUUCGAGUCCCAUCUUCUCCACUA